CCAGAUGGUCGGACGGCCGCUGCCAGCUUCGGUUGGGAGAGGAAAGUCCGGGCUCCAUGGAAACAGGGUGCCGGGUAACGCCCGGCGGGGGCGACCCUAGGGAAAGUGCCACAGAAAGCAAACCGCCUGCCUUGGCAGGUAAGGGUGAAAGGGUGCGGUAAGAGCGCACCGCGCAGCUGGUAACAGGUGCGGCACGGUAAACCCCACCCGGAGCAAGACCAAAUAGGGGCAGCUGCGCCGUUUCGACGGUGCAGGCGGGUUUCCAGCCUGCUGCCCGGGUCGGUCGCGUGAGACGUUCGGCAACGAACGUCCUAGAUGAAUGGCCGUCUAAUGGGGUUUUCCCCAAGGACAAAACCCGGCUUACAGGCCAUCUGGCAUU
Molecule: RNase P RNA, 379 nt
Filed under: Rhodospirillaceae bacterium
Lineage: Bacteria; Pseudomonadati; Pseudomonadota; Alphaproteobacteria; Rhodospirillales; Rhodospirillaceae
Also listed under: 1 other name
Description: RNase P RNA component class A
Rfam family: Bacterial RNase P class A
About the family: Ribonuclease P (RNase P) is a ubiquitous endoribonuclease, found in archaea, bacteria and eukarya as well as chloroplasts and mitochondria. Its best characterised activity is the generation of mature 5'-ends of tRNAs by cleaving the 5'-leader elements of precursor-tRNAs. Cellular RNase Ps are ribonucleoproteins.
Source: RNAcentral